This is a long non-coding RNA of Pieris napi, 1728 nucleotides long. RefSeq lists it as uncharacterized. NCBI's taxonomy places the organism in Eukaryota, Metazoa, Arthropoda, Insecta, Lepidoptera, Pieridae. The record is from RefSeq and is a predicted model, not a curated record. The transcript has 2 exons.
UCAGCGGAGGAAGGAAGCGGGAACCAAGCACAUGUGAACGAGGUAUCUGAGAGUCCCGAGAGUCAACUAGAUGAAAGCCAAGUGACUAUGACGCAAGAGUUCAGGAACACAGCGUCUGCAACGACAAAAUUCAAGCAUCCUGUACCAAUAAAAAGGCAAAAAAAAGUGUGUCACAAAAUGACCCAAUCCUAAGUGAAGCAAUGCAAUUAAUAAGGACUUCAGCACAAGCUGCCACUGCUACCCUUGCCAGCACUGCUUCAUCUGCAGCUGUUGCACCAGACCGAUAUCAAAUUUACGCAAAUUAAUUAGCGUCCAAAUUUCGUACUUACAAAGCUAUCAUGGCUGUUGAACACCAGAUAAACAACAUACAUAUUGUUUUCUGCUGAUGUAGGAGAGUUUGACUGGGAAAGAGGUUAUCUAACCGAUUCCAACUCCAGCCAAGCGUCUACACAGGCUUCAACGCCGCAACAUUCUCAUGAUUUUAGUCACCUUAUAAUUUUUAAAAAUCUGUAAUUUUCUGUUACUUUAAUAAUAAGGUCAGUCCCAACGAGACAAGUGGCUAGCCUAUCAUCGUUACAGUGAACAAUUAACUUUCAGAGAAACCAACGAAAAACUCAGCCACAGAACUAGGCGAAGCAUCAAAUGCGAUUGAAUCCAAUCAAAUAAAAGAAGCACCAGUAGCACAAGGUGGAGCGUCGGUUACACAUGUAUAUAAUUUAAGAGGAUUGCCGAACAAACAUUACUGCGACGAUGACGAAUUGAUUGCUGUUGACUUCUCGCCAGACGUGUCAGAGUAGAUACCAAGUCCAGAUCAACACAGACUUACCAGGAGUCCAUCAAGUUUUGGCGGAGACUCUGAUUAUAAAAAUAUUUUUUUCUAGCUUUUGAGAAUAUUAUAAGAACGCCUUCGACUGUUUCUAAUGUCUCCUCCGUAUUCAAACAAAUCGACUUCGUGGCAUCACCUUCAACCAUAUAUGAAGCUGCUAAGUUGACGGGCACACCUACAUCAUUAACAAACACAAAUACUACUGCGUCACCGGUUUCUGCCAAACCAUGCGAUAUUAAUAGGAGAAAAAAAAGAAAACGUUGUUUGAAUCCUAUUUUCAACAAAAGAUCGUGUUCUUCACAUAUUCUGGAGAAUGAUAUAGCCUUCCAUCGAAAAUGAAGAUUUCACAGACCUCGUUGAUUUGGACACAACUCUACAGCCUGAAAACGAUUCAGAUUCUAUAUUGACAGUCACUACAACUACUUUAGAUGAUGGUGAUGAUACCAUAACAGCUAUCUGCCAAAGUCCCGAUAUAAACUCAAGGCCUGAAACUUCUGCCGCAAGUGUAGACGAAGUCUCAUCAUCAUUUUCUACUAAUAAGCAGAAAUUGUUGGCAAGAAAACGGAUUCGGAGUGAACAAGAACAUCAAGAUGUAAAGAGUAAGAAAUUAAAGAACUCGGGAGAAAGCUAUAUGGGAUGCAGAUCUAAAAAAAUAUACGAAAAAAAAAGAUUACAGGAGGAUGUAAAUGCGCAAAAAAAUGUGAAGAAAAAUUUACAUUGAGCCAAAGAGAGGACAUUAUGCAGCAAUAUUAUAGAUUAGGAGAUCAUGAGCGGCAAUGGCAAUUUAUUGUUAGUCACACGACAGUUGAGAAGGUCAAAAGAAUCAAGUUAGAUCGAAAGAAAUAAAAUAUGUAGGACCUUUUUUGCAAGCACUUUGUGUAUUUCAAAUCAGACAAUUCAUA